AACGCACCUUGCGCCCUUUGGCUAUUCCGAAGGGCAUGCCUGUUUGAGUAUCAUGAACACCUCAACUCUCAUGGUUUUUCCAUGACGAGCUUGGACUUUGGGGGUCUUGCUGGCCUGUGGUCGGCUCCUCUUAAAUGAAUCAGCUUGCCAGUGUUUGGUGGCAUCGCAGGUGUGAUAACUAUCUACGCUUGUGGUUUCCCAUCAGGUAACCUUCAGUGAUGGAGGUUCGCUGGAGCUCAUAAAGGUCUCUCCUCAGUGAGGAGGGGGCUUCUUUUGAAUGUUUGAUCUCAAAUCAGGUAGGACUACCCGCUGAACUUAA
RNAcentral lists this unclassified non-coding RNA (319 nucleotides) under uncultured Thelephoraceae. Its description in RNAcentral is "sequence contains ITS2". Lineage: Eukaryota; Fungi; Basidiomycota; Agaricomycetes; Thelephorales; Thelephoraceae. The record is from RNAcentral.